Molecule: ribosomal RNA, 663 nt
Filed under: uncultured bacterium
Lineage: Bacteria
Description: bacterial SSU rRNA
Rfam family: Bacterial small subunit ribosomal RNA
Source: RNAcentral
AGCAAACGCAUUAAGUAUCCCGCCUGGGGGAGUACGGCCGCAAGGUUGAAACUCAAAUGAAUUGACGGGGACCCGCACAAGCGGUGGAGCAUGUGGAUUAAUUCGAUACUAACCGAAGAACCUUACCCACUCUUGACAUCGAUGGAAAGCUCUAGAGAUAGGGCCCUCUCCCACAAGGAGACCAGAAGACAGAUGUUGCAUGGCUGUCGUCAGCUCGUGCCGUGAGGUGUACGGUUAAGUCCGCCAACGAGCGCAACCCUCGUCUUGUGUUACCAGCGAGUAAAGUCGGGCACUCACAAGAGACCGCCGGUGUAAGCCGGAGGAAGGUGGGGAUGAUGUCAAGUCAGCAUGGCUCUUACGAGUGGGGCUUCACACAUGCUACAAUGGGCGAAACAAAGGGCAGCGAUACCGCGAGGUGGAGCAAAUCCCAAAAAUACGUCCUCAGUUCAGAUUGCAGUCUGCAACUCGACUGCAUGAAGGCGGAAUCGCUAGUAAACGCAGGUCAGCUAUACUGCGUUGAAUACGUUCCCGGGUCUUGUACACACCGCCCGUCAAGUCACUUGAAUUGUCUUCACCCGAAGUCCGUGGCCCAACCCGCAAGGGAGGGAGCGGCCGAAGGUGAGGGGGGUAAGAGGGACUAAGUCGUAACAAGGUAACCAAGGG